Molecule: ribosomal RNA, 440 nt
Filed under: uncultured bacterium
Lineage: Bacteria
Description: bacterial SSU rRNA
Rfam family: Bacterial small subunit ribosomal RNA
Source: RNAcentral
CCUACGGGAGGCUGCAGUGGGGAAUAUUGGACAAUGGGCGAAAGCCUGAUCCAGCCAUGCCGCGUGUGUGAAGAAGGUCUUCGGAUUGUAAAGCACUUUAAGUUGGGAGGAAGGGCAGUCAGCUAAUACCUGGUUGUUUUGACGUUACCAACAGAAUAAGCACCGGCUAACUUCGUGCCAGCAGCCGCGGUAAUACGAAGGGUGCAAGCGUUAAUCGGAAUUACUGGGCGUAAAGCGCGCGUAGGUGGUUCAGCAAGUUGGAGGUGAAAGCCCCGGGCUCAACCUGGGAACUGCCUCCAAAACUACUGGGCUAGAGUAUGGUAGAGGGUGGUGGAAUUUCCUGUGUAGCGGUGAAAUGCGUAGAUAUAGGAAGGAACACCAGUGGCGAAGGCGACCACCUGGACUGAUACUGACACUGAGGUGCGAAAGCGUGGGGAGCA